CCUACGGGUGGCAGCAGUAGGGAAUAUUGCUCAAUGGGGGAAACCCUGAUGCAGCAACGCCGCGUGGAGGAUGAAGGUUUUCGGUUUGUAAACUCCUUUUGUUAGGGAAGAUAAUGACGGUAUCUAACGAAUAAGCACCGGCUAACUCCGUGCCAGCAGCCGCGGUAAUACGGAGGGGGCAAGCGUUACUCGGAUUCACUGGGCGUAAAGGGCGCGUAGGUGGGGUGGUAAGUCAGAGGUGAAAUCCUAUGGCUUAACCAUAGGAUUGCAUUUGAAACUGGUAUUCUAGAGUGCGGGAGGGGUAGGUGGAAUGCUUGGUGUAGCGGUGAAAUGCGUAGAUAUCAAGAGGAACACUCAUUGCGAAGGCGACUUGCUAGAACAUAACUGACGCUGAGGCGCGAAAGCGUGGGGAGCAAACAGGAUUAGAUACCCCAGUAGUC
Molecule: ribosomal RNA, 440 nt
Filed under: uncultured bacterium
Lineage: Bacteria
Description: partial 16S ribosomal RNA
Rfam family: Bacterial small subunit ribosomal RNA
Source: RNAcentral